This is a long non-coding RNA of Mesocricetus auratus (golden hamster), 254 nucleotides long. RefSeq lists it as uncharacterized. The transcript has 3 exons. The record is from RefSeq and is a predicted model, not a curated record. NCBI's taxonomy places the organism in Eukaryota, Metazoa, Chordata, Mammalia, Rodentia, Cricetidae.
GACAGCAAGGUCUCCCUCAUCCAAGCAUCUCCUUUGACCUCCUGUCUUUGAUGUUUCUCCCUGUGUAAGACUGCAAUCAGGAAGCACCAGGAUGAAGCUGCGGGAUGGCGAUCCACUUCAUGCGGUCAGCAAAAGUCACUUCUCUUCCAAUAAGGCUCAUAGUCUUCCACGGCCCCAUCGGUGAUCAGCAUGAUGGCCUGGUUGCAGAGACUUCCUUGUCUGGACUCUUGGAACUGAGGGAGCAGGGGUGAAGC